AAGUCGUAACAAGGUUUCCGUAGGUGAACCUGCGGAAGGAUCAUUAACACGUGCUUUUAAAACACACGUAUUAAUCCACCGAGAAUUUGUUAAUAUCUAUCCUAUUGUUGGAUGCAGACAGACGAAAUGAGGGAAUGCUAUGGGCCGCCCUUCUUUUUCGAAAGAUUGUACGCCCUAACUCAUUAGUCGUCCUUAGGUCCGCCCUGGGGUUUGCACUGACAAAUAGCUGACGAGUUACGACUGUGAAUGCCUGUAGCAUAGCUUUGCAGAUCGUAAUGACCGACAUUAACCCCUUUACUAUAUACUUACUGAUUUUGUACGUUUAUAUGAAUUCCUGACUGUUACUGUUAACUGCAACGGUUGGUUGAGUUUAUAUAGAUGUCGUAUAUUACUAAUACGAAACAACUCUUAGCAACGGAUAUCUUGGUUCUC
This 432-nucleotide unclassified non-coding RNA is filed under the name fungal sp. RNAcentral describes it as "partial internal transcribed spacer region". The stretch from base 1 to 46 matches the Rfam family "Eukaryotic small subunit ribosomal RNA", at positions 1786 to 1831 of the family's 1831-position model. Lineage: Eukaryota; Fungi. The record is from RNAcentral.